Molecule: unclassified non-coding RNA, 1911 nt
Filed under: Drosophila mojavensis
Lineage: Eukaryota; Metazoa; Arthropoda; Insecta; Diptera; Drosophilidae
Description: GI16825
Source: RNAcentral
CAAUUUUAACAAAAAAUAAAAAGAAAACUUAGAUUAAACCCAAAAAAUAAAUAAAAUAUCCAUUUCGAAAGACGAAAAGGCGCAGCAGAGAGAAACUUGAGGAAAAUUGGAAAUCGAGAAGCAGAGCGCAGAGAAGAAAAAUCUCUUGGCAAAAAGUUGUUUAUUGUUGUAGGCUUAGCGAGCAGCAAACGUUAGCGGUGUUCAUUUUUAAGGCUUUUAGAGAUAGAAAACACAAAAAAUAGAAGAAAACUUUUAUCCACACACACACACACACACACACACACACACACAUACAGACAGACAAACAUAAGCAACCAUGAAGAAGAGCUCCACAUUGACGACCACCACAUCGAUGCUAACGUCUCCGACGCAGUCGGCACAAACGCUCUCGGCCAGCAAAAUGAGCCUGAGCAGCAGCCGUUCGGGCCGAUCCUCGUGUCAAUCACAUGGACCCGUUAGACCAGGCAGCGGAUGCGUCGAUGCGAUUAAGGCCAAGCGAGAGGAGAUCGAAAUCGAUACCAUACUCGAGAAGGCGAAGUUCUACACCUCCGUGUGCCUUGGUACGACUGCCAUUUUGUCGGUGUUCACAUUUCUCUUCCUGAUACCCUUUGUUGUGGAUCCCGCAAUUUCAACAAUCAUAGCCGACUACGAUCCGGUGCCGGUGACCUGCGUUGUCAUCGAUCACAUCUACGCGGAGGGCAUCAAGAAUUGCAGCUGGAGUUCGUGUCGCGAGGGCUGCACCUCAUCACUCACCAAGUGCCAUCAGUUGUAUGUCAACUAUACGCGAAUACCCUUUAGCGAAUGGGAGCGCAAUCCUCGAGACUUGGAGCGCGUCAAUUGGGACGUUAGCUACACAAAGUUUUUAAUCAACUCCGAGGGUUGCGGCUAUCCACCGACAACCAAUUGUAGCGUUUUCGCCAGACAAUAUGGCUUCAAUCACAUUGGCGAGCCUUUUCCCUGCUACUAUAGUCGCGCCUAUCCGGAAGUGGUCAUCGGGCGUUACUCAUGGGAGAAUAACCUGUACCAUCUGGUGCUCUCGCUGAUUAUACCAAAUGUUCUAUUUGCCAUUUCAAUUGGUGUCUUGAGCUAUUGGUAUUGCCCCUGCUGUGAGAAGGCGUGCAAUAAGUCCUCGCGUGUUUACGCCGAAAAGUUUCCAACCAAGGAAGAGUGAGUCUCAUUUAAACCAAACAGACAAAAUCCCUGUAUUGUAUUGUAGUAAUACCCCUAACACACUCUCACACAUCCAUAAAUUUAUAUAAUAAUCCAUUGUGCCUUGUAUUUGGAACUGUCAAAAGUUAUCGUUAUCGUUAUCGAUUGUACAUGUUAAACCUUACUGUAUUGGCCGCUAUAACCCUAACUUAUCCUAAGUUUGUGAAACAACUGUAAGACUCGUUUACCCAAUUUUGUGUUCCCCAUUCACCGAUUUUUUCAUGCCUUUUACGUGUUUCUUUCUUUUCUCUCUCCUUCUCUUUCUUUCUUUUCUCUUUGUUAAAUUAUUUACAGGAUCGUUAACUGCAUGAAAUGUAAUACGGAAAAGUCCUUAACUUUGAAUGUAUUUUGAAUAACUAAAAGCGACAGUGCCUGAAUUUUGAAAAUGAAAUUGAAGUAGGACUCUACAAAAACCAUAAAUCUAAGAAAAAGCUCUAUGUAACCAAAAACAAAUCUCAGCACGCUCAGUACACCCAAUGCAAAUAGCAAAAGUAAAAGCAAAAACUCUUUCAAAAAGUUACUCUGAAGUGUCCUUAGCAAAUAUAUUUUCUGGUUAAUCUCAGCUUCAAGCUAAGCCACCAUAUUGUAAGAACAUUACCUAUCAUACUACACCUCAAGGGCGUUUAGUUAGACCCAUUUUGUCAACUCUCUACAAGACUUUUUCUUCUAAACUAACAGAGCACAAAACAGAAAAAUGCAUAU